AAAACUUUCAACAACGGAUCUCUUGGUUCUGGCAUCGAUGAAGAACGCAGCGAAAUGCGAUAAGUAAUGUGAAUCGCAGAAUUCAGUGAAUCAUCGAAUCUUUGAACGCACAUUGCGCCCCUUGGUAUUCCGAGGGGCAUACCUGUUCGAGCGUCAUUACACCCCUCACGCCCCCCCAUCGGGCGUGGUCUUG
Molecule: ribosomal RNA, 193 nt
Filed under: Sticta sp.
Lineage: Eukaryota; Fungi; Ascomycota; Lecanoromycetes; Peltigerales; Lobariaceae
Description: 5.8S ribosomal RNA
Rfam family: 5.8S ribosomal RNA (bases 3-156)
About the family: 5.8S ribosomal RNA (5.8S rRNA) is a component of the large subunit of the eukaryotic ribosome. It is transcribed by RNA polymerase I as part of the 45S precursor that also contains 18S and 28S rRNA.
Source: RNAcentral